UUCGGUCUGGCGGCGAGUGGCGAACGGGUGAGUAAUGUAUCGGAACGUGCCUAGUAGCGGGGGAUAACUACUCGAAAGAGUGGCUAAUACCGCAUACGCCCUACGGGGGAAAGCAGGGGAUCGUAAGACCUUGCGUUAAUGGAGCGGCCGAUAUCUGAUUAGCUUGUUGGUGAGGUAAAGGCUCACCAAGGCGACGAUCAGUAGCUGGUUUGAGAGAACGACCAGCCACACUGGAACUGAGACACGGUCCAGACUCC
RNAcentral lists this ribosomal RNA (257 nucleotides) under uncultured bacterium. Its description in RNAcentral is "partial 16S ribosomal RNA". It matches the Rfam family "Bacterial small subunit ribosomal RNA", at positions 79 to 339 of the family's 1533-position model. The record is from RNAcentral.